UAUGAAGAACGUAGCGAAAUGCGAUAAGUAAUGUGAAUUGCAGAAUUCAGUGAAUCAUCGAAUCUUUGAACGCACCUUGCGCUCCUUGGUAUUCCGAGGAGCAUGCCUGUUUGAGUGUCAUUAAUAUAUCAACCUUCUCUUUUUUGAGUUGUUUGGAUGUGGGGGUUUGCUGUCCUCUUAAAUGAUUCAGCUCCCCUGAAAUGCAUUAGCAGAACAACCUGUUCAUUAGCGUGAUAAUUAUCUAUGCUAUUGAAUGUGAGGGCAGUUCAGCUUUCUAACCGUCCUUGGACAAUUCAUCAUUAAUGUGACCUCAAAUCAGGUAGGACUUCCCGCUGAACUUAAGCAUAUCAAUAAGCGGAGGA
Molecule: unclassified non-coding RNA, 362 nt
Filed under: soil metagenome
Description: partial contains 5.8S ribosomal RNA, internal transcribed spacer 2, and large subunit ribosomal RNA
Rfam family: 5.8S ribosomal RNA (bases 2-120)
Source: RNAcentral